AAAAAAAAUGGUAAAACAUCCUAAUUUUAGGACUGAAUAAGCAAGGAAAAGAAUUUAAGGAAAGAAUAAGUGAGGUAGGAAAAGGGAAAAUAGACUUGAAGAAGAAUGCAGUGUGAGGUCAUUGUAAAAAGUCAUUCUCCAUUUUUAAAUAAUUAUUUUAUAUCAUCUCAUUGCAGUAUCAACAACUAGCAAUUUAGAAUAGACAUUUAUUUAAGGAAUUAAAAUAAUCUACAUAAGAUAAAAAAGAAAAGAGUAAAAAAAAAAAAGAAAAGCCAC
Molecule: non-coding RNA, 276 nt
Organism: Pelobates cultripes (western spadefoot toad)
Lineage: Eukaryota; Metazoa; Chordata; Amphibia; Anura; Pelobatidae
Source: the annotation of a GenBank genome assembly